RNAcentral lists this ribosomal RNA (433 nucleotides) under uncultured bacterium. Its description in RNAcentral is "partial 16S ribosomal RNA". It matches the Rfam family "Bacterial small subunit ribosomal RNA", at positions 29 to 507 of the family's 1533-position model. The record is from RNAcentral.
AACGAACGCUGGCGGCAUGCCUAACACAUGCAAGUCGAACGAGACCUUCGGGUCUAGUGGCGCACGGGUGCGUAACGCGUGGGAACCUGCCCUUAGGUUCGGAAUAACUCCCCGAAAGGGGUGCUAAUACCGGAUAAUGUCUUCGGACCAAAGAUUUAUCGCCUUUGGAUGGGCCCGCGUUGGAUUAGCUAGUUGGUAGGGUAAAAGCCUACCAAGGCGACGAUCCAUAGCUGGUCUGAGAGGAUGAUCAGCCACACUGGGACUGAGACGCGGCCCAGACUCCUACGGGAGGCAGCAGUGGGGAAUAUUGGACAAUGGGCGAAAGCAUGAUCCAGCAAUGCCGCGUGAGUGAUGAAGGCCUUAGGGUUGUAAAGCUCUUUUAACCGGGAUGAUAAUGACAGUACCGGGAGAAUAAGCUCCAGCUAACUCCGUG